CAUUACAUUAUAAUACAUUAAUAUGUUAUUUUAAAUAAUUUAAUAUUAUGUUAUAUUAUGAGAAAUUAAUUUAUACUAAUAAUUAUAAUAUUUUAUACUUUUAUUAUUGUAUUAUACUAUAAAUAUAAUAUACAUUACAUUAUAUCAUAAUACAUUAAUAUGUUAUGUUAAAUAAUUUAAUAUUAUGUUAUAUUACCAAAUAUUAAUUUACUCUAAGAAUUAUAUUACUAUUAUGCUAUAUUAACAUAAUAUUAUUUUAUAUUACAAUAAUAUUAUACUAUAUCAUAUAUUUAUGUAUUAAUUUAUGUUAUAUUUUAUUAUAUUCUGUUGUAUAAUACUAUGCAUGUCCUUUAUGGUAAUUUUAUCAUAUAAAAGUACUUUCUCAGUUUGUUUAUCAAACACAAAACAAAGAACCAACAGCACUUUACAAAUGUAGUUACCAAACAGCAAACAGUUUUUUAUAACAGCUCUACUUCAGACAGCUCUACUUCCAACAGCUCUACUUCCAACAGCUCUACUGCCAACAGCUCCUCCAAACAGGGCCUAAAACUCUAUAGCAGUUUAGACAACUGUCUCUUGAAAUUCUUAUCUCUCUCUCUCCUUACAUUACGUAAUUGCACAUUGUUUUGUAGGAUUGCUAAAAUAUUUAUUUCUGUAUCUACAGUAUUUGAUCAUAGAAAACAAUAACGAUCUAGGAGCUAUUCAGAUGCCUGGGUCAGUGGUCACUGACGGUAGAGAAACGGCAGGAAAGCUGGAGAAUUGUUCCGUCUUAUCCCCACUCUUUGAGAAUGCUAAGAUCCCAACUUCUCCGUCCUGGCAUUCGUUGAAUGCUUGCUCAAGUGAGAUAAGUGCAUCUCGGUAUUUCUUGGGCAAUUUGUAUCAUUUGAAUGAGUGUUUUGUUCUGUAAUCCUUCUGUUAUGUUCUGAGUGAUUCUAUCGUUGAUCAUUGCAUCGAAACGGGUGUAUUGGGGGUGGUUUCUACUUUCCACUUGUGCGGUCAGGAACAAGACAUUAUAUCUGCUAUAUGCUUGUAGUGCUUUGGUGAAUGCUUGUUUUUGACAUUAUAAGCAGACAAUUUUUAAUCCGUCUAAGUUUUGAAAUGACUAUUGCGGUGGGGCAAGAUCCUUAUUUCCAUGUGUGUAAAGAUCAUGUUACAGACAAAAACUAAAAAAGAGGAUCAAAGUUCACCCUCAGAUAAUCUGGUUGUGGUUGCUUCCAUGAAAUAAUUAUUUGAAAAGAAGAAUCCGCAAAAUCUAGUGGAAAGUCCAAUUUUCUGCGGGCCUUGUCAGAAUUGUGAUCCUGAGGUUCAUCGUCCUCCCAACAAUCCAGCGGCAACCUGCUCGCCCGAGUGCAAGCAAAUGCUACUAUGAGUUCCUUCCAUAAUCCCGCUUAGCCUUCAAAAGUCCUCCACAACCACUUUCAUUGCGAUGCUCUAUCGAAGUUUUGCUUCGUUC
This 1453-nucleotide long non-coding RNA is filed under the name Phoenix dactylifera (date palm). RNAcentral describes it as "long non-coding RNA (PDAC_LNC006429)". The record is from RNAcentral. Lineage: Eukaryota; Viridiplantae; Streptophyta; Magnoliopsida; Arecales; Arecaceae.